RNAcentral lists this unclassified non-coding RNA (236 nucleotides) under Chytridiomycota sp. RNAcentral describes it as "partial contains small subunit ribosomal RNA, internal transcribed spacer 1, and 5.8S ribosomal RNA". The stretch from base 1 to 47 matches the Rfam family "Eukaryotic small subunit ribosomal RNA", at positions 1785 to 1831 of the family's 1831-position model. Lineage: Eukaryota; Fungi; Chytridiomycota. The record is from RNAcentral.
AAAGUCGUAACAAGGUAACCGUAGGUGAACCUGCGGUUGGAUCAUUAACAAAUGAUUUGGUUUUUAACCAAAACACUGUGUGCAAUCAUAUCUGUCUCUGGUGGUUUAACCUUCCUGUCCGCAGGAAAACCAAACCACCAAAUGAUAAACAAACCUUUGUAUUUUUUAUUCUUGUCUGAAUCAUUCACUUUUGUGCAAUGAAAAAACAACUUUUGACAACGGAUCUCUUGGCUCUC